GGGCGUAAGAGCUCGUAGGCGGUCUGUCGCGUCGGAUGUGAAAGCCCGGGGCUUAACCCCGGGUCUGCAUUCGAUACGGGCAGACUAGAGUGUGGUAGGGGAGAUCGGAAUUCCUGGUGUAGCGGUGAAAUGCGCAGAUAUCAGGAGGAACACCGGUGGCGAAGGCGGAUCUCUGGGCCAUUACUGACGCUGAGGAGCGAAAGCGUGGGGAGCGAACAGGAUUAGAUACCCUGGUAGUCCACGCCGUAAACGGUGGGAACUAGGUGUUGGCGACAUUCCACGUCGUCGGUGCCGCAGCUAACGCAUUAAGUUCCCCGCCUGGGGAGUACGGCCGCAAGGCUAAAACUCAAAGGAAUUGACGGGGGCCCGCACAAGCAGCGGAGCAUGUGGC
This 391-nucleotide ribosomal RNA is filed under the name Streptomyces scabiei. RNAcentral describes it as "bacterial SSU rRNA". It matches the Rfam family "Bacterial small subunit ribosomal RNA", at positions 556 to 945 of the family's 1533-position model. The record is from RNAcentral. Lineage: Bacteria; Bacillati; Actinomycetota; Actinomycetes; Kitasatosporales; Streptomycetaceae.